ACCAACCCCACUCCCCCAGACGUACCCAUUUGGCAUGUUGAACCACUCACCUACAGUACGGUAUGUCAUGGCAGCUCUCAUGUAUUAGAGGCAUCAGUCAAAGCUGAUGGGUCCAUGGAGCAGGACUCUCUCUGUGUGGUCUGAAAUCCUGGCAGCUGACAGCAAGUUGGUGCCAUGGCCGAGUGGAGGGACUAUUUUCAGUCUUCUGACCUCAUUUGGUCCUUGUUCUACCAAACGCAUAAUCUCCAGUGUAACAUGCAGUAUAUGAGACAUGCAGUAUAUGAGACAUGCAGUAUAUGAGACAUGCAGUAUAUGAGACAUGCAGUAUACGAGACAUGUAGUAUAUGAGACAUGUAGUAUAUGAAACAUGCAGUAUGAGACAUGCAGAUUGAGUAGUCGAGUCAAAUGCAGAGACGUUCAGGUGAAUGUGUGUGCAUGCACUCACACACACGCACAGACACGUCAUGUCCGAUUACCAGUUCAUGCAUUCUAAAUAGUAGCCAUUUUCUAAGUGAAAUUUUGAAAAAUAAGUAUGCUUUAAAUGCCAGGAUGUUACUCAUUUUCAGAGGUACUCACUCGCGCAUGCACACACAUAAACACACACACAGACCCACACACACACUGUACAGCCUAACAAGCCGACCAUGCGUUUACAUUUUACAUUUUUGUCAUUUAGCAGAUGCUUUUAUCCAGAGCGACUUACAUGGUUCAAUCUAUACACAUGACUGAUUUGAGGGACGUAACAAGUACCUUGACAGUGCUGAACACUUGUCAGAGCAUGUGGAGACAUUUUUAUUUUCCCUUUCUUUCCCUUGGCACAGUUUAGUCCCAGUGUUAGCCCAGCCUCUCUGCACUUCUCUCACACUCACAAACACACACCUGUUUAUUUCACUGUCAGGGCUGUCUGAACAUUGUCUUAUUUUGGUGCUGACACAGCCUUUCUGUCUUUCUUUUUUCUUUCUGUCUUUCUUUCUGUCUUUCUUUCUGUCUCUCUUCCUGCUUUUCUUUCUGUCUUUCCGUCUUUCUUUCUUUCUUUCUUUCUUUCUUUCUUUCUUUCUUUCUUUCUUUCUUUCUUUCUUUCUUUCUUUCUUUCUUUCUUUCUUUCUUUCUUUCUGUCUUUCUUUCUGUCUUUCUUUCUGUCUCUCUUCCUGAUUUUCUUUCUGUCUUUCCGUCUUUCUUUCUUUCUUUCUUUCUUUCUUUCUUUCUGUCUUUCUUUCUUUCUUUCUUUCUUUCUUUCUUUCUUUCUUUCUUUCUUUCUUUCUUUCUUUCUUUCUUUCUUUCUUUCUUUCUUUCUUUCUUUCUGUCUUUCUUUCUUUUUUCUGUCUUUCUUUCUGUCUCUCUUCCUGCUUUUCUUUCUGUCUUUCCGUCUUUCUUUCUUUCUUUCUUUCUUUCUUUCUUUCUUUCUUUCUUUCUUUCUUUCUGUCUUUCUUUCUUUUUUCUGUCUUUCUGUCUUUCUUUCUGUCUUUCUUGUCAGUAAACAACCAUCAUAGCUGUUUUUCUGUCACUAGAUGAAUAAUAUACAGUAGUCAGACAUUGAACCAUUGGCUUUAGACACAAAAUUUGAUUAACCAAUUUGACUUGUCACUCAACUUCUGUUUGUUGACCUUAGCUAGACUAUAGGGAUAGGGAUACAUCUAUGUUUUAAAAGCCUACUUUGCCAAAUUCAAGCCAUUUCCUAAUUUAGGGGUAUUUAUCUCUUGGCGUCAGCCAGGGACACUUAGGUAUUGUGGAGCUGAGUUUGUCAAAAUACAUUCCCCCGUGUACUGCCAGUGGAGAGUGACAAGCGUAUUUAAUACACCCUGAUUCGUCUACUGGGUGAACACUUAAAACCAAGGACUCCAGCAGCAUUGGACAACGGUCCAGAACAUGUUGGAGAUGCACUUCUACCGUCUCUGGACCAGCACUAGGCUCAGGUUAGAUAUCUUCUGGACCAGCACUAGAUUCAGGUUAGAUAUCUCCCAGACCAGCACUAGGCUCAGGUUAGAUAUCUCCCAGACCAGCACUAGGCUCAGGUUAGAUAUCUCCCAGACCAGCACUAGGCUCAGGUUAGAUAUCUCCCAGACUAGCACUAGGCUCAGGUUGGAUAUCUCCUGGACCAGCACUAGACUCAGGUUAGAUAUCUCAUGUACUAGCACUAGGCUCAGGUUUUAUAUCUCCUGGACCAGCUCUAGGCUCAGGUUGGAUAUCUCAUGUACUAGCACUAGGCUCAGGUUAGAUAUCUCAUAGACCAGCACUAGGCUCAGGUUAGAUAUCUCAUGUACUAGCACUAAGCUCAGGUUAGAUAUCUCCUAUACCAGCACUAGGCUCAGGUUAGAUAUCUCCUAGACUAGCACUAAGCUCAGGUUAGAUAUCUCCUAGACUAGCACUAGGCUCAGGUUAGAUAUCUCCUAGACCAGCACUAGGCUCAGGUUGGAUAUCUCCUGGACCAGCACUAGGCUCAGGUUAGAUAUCUCCUGGACCAGCACUAGGCUCAGGUUAGAGGACACCAGAGCAUAGCAUGUGAUAUAGACCUCAUAUAAAUACUUUUUCUGUCCACCUACUGGGAGGUCAUGGCGUUACAGAAGAAGGAAUGAGUGACACCUAUUGCAGAGCUUGGCUUUUCUACAUAUUUGCAUACUAGACUUCUACUGCAGAGCUUGGAUGGUCUACAUAUUUGCAUACUAGACUUCUACUGUCACAGUACAGUAUGACCAUACUGGAGACACAUAUUUCCUUCAGAUUACACAGACACACAAACAAUUCAGAACUUGUUGGCACACAUAUAAGCCUUUCUGCAAGCAGACUCAUUCACAGACCCACACACACAGUCAUUCAUGUAUAAAUCGCUCUCUCUCACUCCUUCUUUCUCUCUAUCUCUCUUUGUAUGUCUGUUUGUUUGUCUCUAUCUCACUAUCUUCUCUCUCUCUCUCUUUCUAUAUCUCACUAUCUCUCUCUCUCUCUCUCUCUCACUAUCUCUCUCUCUCUCUAUCUCUCUCUCUCACUUUCUUUCUCUUGGCCUGUCUCUCCUCUCUCCUCCCUCUCUCAGGCUCUACGUCUGGUUAUCCACCCUCCCCUCUCUGCCUCUGGUUAUCCACCCUCCCCUCUCUACGUCUGGUUAUCCACCCUCUCCUCUCUACAUCUGGUUAUCCACCCUCUCCUCUCUACGUCUGGUUAUCCACCCUCCUCUCUACGUCUGGUUAUCCACCCUCUCCUCUCUACAUCUGGUUAUCCACCCUCUCCUCUCUCUGUCUGGUUAUCCACCCUCUCCUCUCUACGUCUGGUUAUCCACCCUCUCCUCUCUACGUCUGGUUAUCCACCCUCUCCUCUCUACAUCUGGUUAUCCACCCUCCUCUCUAUGUCUGGUUAUCCACCCUCUCCUCUCUACAUCUGGUUAUCCACCCUCUCCUCUCUACGUCUGGUUAUCCACCCUCUCCUCUCUGUCUGGUUAUCCACCCUCUCCUCUCUACGUCUGGUUAUCCACCCUCUCCUCUCUACAUCUGGUUAUCCACCCUCCUCUCUAUGUCUGGUUAUCCACCCUCUCCUCUCUACAUCUGGUUAUCCACCCUCUCCUCUCUACGUCUGGUUAUCCACCCUCCUCUCUACGUCUGGUUAUCCACCCUCUCCUCUCUCUCUCUCUGUCUCAUUAUCCACCCUUCCCUCUCUCUCUCUCUCUCUCUCUCUCUCUCUCUCUCUCUCUCUCUCUCUGUCUGGGUAUGCACCCCCCCCUCUCUCUCUCUGGUUAUGCACCCCUCCCUCUCUCUCUCUGGUUAUCCACCCUCCCCCUCUCUCUCUCGCUGUCUUGUUAUCCACACUCCUCUCUCUCUCUCUGUCUGGUUAUGCACCCUCCCCUCUCUCGCUCUCUCUCUGUCUGGUUAUGCACCCUUCCCCCCUCUCUCUCUCUCUGUCUGGUUAUGCACCCUCCCCCCUCUCUCUCUGUCUGGUUAUGCACCCUCUCUCUCGCUCUCUCUCUCUCUGGUUAUGCACCUCUCCCUCUCUCUCUCUGGUUAUCCACCCUCCCCCCUCUCUCUCUCGCUGUCUUGUUAUCCACACUCCUCUCUCUCUCUCUCUCUCUCUCUCUGUCUGGUUAUGCACCCUCCCCACUCUCGCUCUCUCUCUGUCUGGUUAUGCAGCCUUCCCCCCCUCUCUCUCUCUGUCUGGUUAUGCACCCUCC
This 4150-nucleotide long non-coding RNA is filed under the name Salmo salar (Atlantic salmon). RNAcentral's name for it is "lncRNA (ENSSSAG00000111543.1)". Lineage: Eukaryota; Metazoa; Chordata; Actinopteri; Salmoniformes; Salmonidae. The record is from RNAcentral.